GACGAACGCUGGCGGCGUGCUUAACACAUGCAAGUCGAACGGAAAGGCCCUGCUUGCGGGGUACUCGAGUGGCGAACGGGUGAGUAACACGUGGGUGAUCUGCCCUGCACUUCGGGAUAAGCCUGGGAAACUGGGUCUAAUACCGGAUAGGAGCCAUUUUUAGUGUGAUGGUUGGAAAGUUUUUUCGGUGUAGGAUGAGCUCGCGGCCUAUCAGCUUGUUGGUGGGGUAAUGGCCUACGAAGGCGGCGACGGGUAGCCGGCCUGAGAGGGUGGACGGCCACAUUGGGACUGAGAUACGGCCCAGACGCCUACGGGAGGCAGCAGUGGGGAAUAUUGCACAAUGGGCGCAAGCCUGAUGCAGCGACGCCGCGUGGGGGAUGACGGCCUUCGGGUUGUAAACUCCUUUCGCUAGGGACGAAGCUUUUUGUGACGGUACCUAGAUAAGAAGCACCGGCUAACUACGUG
This 465-nucleotide ribosomal RNA is filed under the name uncultured bacterium. RNAcentral's name for it is "partial 16S ribosomal RNA". It matches the Rfam family "Bacterial small subunit ribosomal RNA", at positions 28 to 507 of the family's 1533-position model. The record is from RNAcentral.